CUAACCCCAUUGAUCUAAGCUUACUUGAAAGGCUCUUUAGGGAAUCUGAAAUCAAAGAAGCAAUAUUCAAUCUUCCAAGUGACAAAGCACUCGGACCAGAUGAUUUCUCAAUUUACUUCUUUCAGAAGCAUCGGAAGAUAAUUAAAACAGAUCUACUAAAUUUUUUUGUAGUAAUUUUUAGGUCACCUACUGACUUAUCUCGAUCAACUACACUCACAU
RNAcentral lists this long non-coding RNA (219 nucleotides) under Elaeis guineensis (African oil palm). Its description in RNAcentral is "long non-coding RNA (EGUI_LNC030364)". Lineage: Eukaryota; Viridiplantae; Streptophyta; Magnoliopsida; Arecales; Arecaceae. The record is from RNAcentral.